UGAGCAACCUGCCCUUAGCUUUGGGAUAACCCUCGGAAACGGGGGCUAAUACCGAAUGUUCACUGCCGGGCGCAUGUUUGGUGGUGGAAAGGUUUUCGGCUGGGGAUGGGCUCGCGGCCUAUCAGCUUGUUGGUGGGGUGAUGGCCAACCAAGGCGAUGACGGGUAGCCGGCCUGAGAGGGCGACCGGCCACACUGGGACUGAGACACGGCCCAGACUCCUACGGGAGGCA
RNAcentral lists this ribosomal RNA (231 nucleotides) under uncultured bacterium. RNAcentral's name for it is "partial 16S ribosomal RNA". It matches the Rfam family "Bacterial small subunit ribosomal RNA", at positions 118 to 350 of the family's 1533-position model. The record is from RNAcentral.